UUAAGCGACUAAGCGUACACGGUGGAUGCCCUGGCAGUCAGAGGCGAUGAAGGACGUGCUAAUCUGCGAUAAGCGUCGGUAAGGUGAUAUGAACCGUUAUAACCGGCGAUUUCCGAAUGGGGAAACCCAGUGUGUUUCGACACACUAUCAUUAACUGAAUCCAUAGGUUAAUGAGGCGAACCGGGGGAACUGAAACAUCUAAGUACCCCGAGGAAAAGAAAUCAACCGAGAUUCCCCCAGUAGCGGCGAGCGAACGGGGAGCAGCCCAGAGCCUGAAUCAGUAUGUGUGUUAGUGGAAGCGUCUGGAAAGGCGCGCGAUACAGGGUGACAGCCCCGUACACAAAAAUGCACAUAUUGUGAGCUCGAUGAGUAGGGCGGGACACGUGGUAUCCUGUCUGAAUAUGGGGGGACCAUCCUCCAAGGCUAAAUACUCCUGACUGACCGAUAGUGAACCAGUACCGUGAGGGAAAGGCGAAAAGAACCCCGGCGAGGGGAGUGAAAAAGAACCUGAAACCGUGUACGUACAAGCAGUGGGAGCACGCUUAGGCGUGUGACUGCGUACCUUUUGUAUAAUGGGUCAGCGACUUAUAUUCUGUAGCAAGGUUAACCGAAUAGGGGAGCCGAAGGGAAACCGAGUCUUAACUGGGCGUUAAGUUGCAGGGUAUAGACCCGAAACCCGGUGAUCUAGCCAUGGGCAGGUUGAAGGUUGGGUAACACUAACUGGAGGACCGAACCGACUAAUGUUGAAAAAUUAGCGGAUGACUUGUGGCUGGGGGUGAAAGGCCAAUCAAACCGGGAGAUAGCUGGUUCUCCCCGAAAGCUAUUUAGGUAGCGCCUCGUGAAUUCAUCUCCGGGGGUAGAGCACUGUUUCGGCAAGGGGGUCAUCCCGACUUACCAACCCGAUGCAAACUGCGAAUACCGGAGAAUGUUAUCACGGGAGACACACGGCGGGUGCUAACGUCCGUCGUGAAGAGGGAAACAACCCAGACCGCCAGCUAAGGUCCCAAAGUCAUGGUUAAGUGGGAAACGAUGUGGGAAGGCCCAGACAGCCAGGAUGUUGGCUUAGAAGCAGCCAUCAUUUAAAGAAAGCGUAAUAGCUCACUGGUCGAGUCGGCCUGCGCGGAAGAUGUAACGGGGCUAAACCAUGCACCGAAGCUGCGGCAGCGACACUGAUGUGUUGUUGGGUAGGGGAGCGUUCUGUAAGCCUGCGAAGGUGUGCUGUGAGGCAUGCUGGAGGUAUCAGAAGUGCGAAUGCUGACAUAAGUAACGAUAAAGCGGGUGAAAAGCCCGCUCGCCGGAAGACCAAGGGUUCCUGUCCAACGUUAAUCGGGGCAGGGUGAGUCGACCCCUAAGGCGAGGCCGAAAGGCGUAGUCGAUGGGAAACAGGUUAAUAUUCCUGUACUUGGUGUUACUGCGAAGGGGGGACGGAGAAGGCUAUGUUGGCCGGGCGACGGUUGUCCCGGUUUAAGCGUGUAGGCUGGUUUUCCAGGCAAAUCCGGAAAAUCAAGGCUGAGGCGUGAUGACGAGGCACUACGGUGCUGAAGCAACAAAUGCCCUGCUUCCAGGAAAAGCCUCUAAGCAUCAGGUAACAUCAAAUCGUACCCCAAACCGACACAGGUGGUCAGGUAGAGAAUACCAAGGCGCUUGAGAGAACUCGGGUGAAGGAACUAGGCAAAAUGGUGCCGUAACUUCGGGAGAAGGCACGCUGAUAUGUAGGUGAAGUCCCUCGCGGAUGGAGCUGAAAUCAGUCGAAGAUACCAGCUGGCUGCAACUGUUUAUUAAAAACACAGCACUGUGCAAACACGAAAGUGGACGUAUACGGUGUGACGCCUGCCCGGUGCCGGAAGGUUAAUUGAUGGGGUUAGCCGCAAGGCGAAGCUCUUGAUCGAAGCCCCGGUAAACGGCGGCCGUAACUAUAACGGUCCUAAGGUAGCGAAAUUCCUUGUCGGGUAAGUUCCGACCUGCACGAAUGGCGUAAUGAUGGCCAGGCUGUCUCCACCCGAGACUCAGUGAAAUUGAACUCGCUGUGAAGAUGCAGUGUACCCGCGGCAAGACGGAAAGACCCCGUGAACCUUUACUAUAGCUUGACACUGAACAUUGAGCCUUGAUGUGUAGGAUAGGUGGGAGGCUUAGAAGUGUGGACGCCAGUCUGCAUGGAGCCGACCUUGAAAUACCACCCUUUAAUGUUUGAUGUUCUAACGUUGACCCGUAAUCCGGGUUGCGGACAGUGUCUGGUGGGUAGUUUGACUGGGGCGGUCUCCUCCUAAAGAGUAACGGAGGAGCACGAAGGUUGGCUAAUCCUGGUCGGACAUCAGGAGGUUAGUGCAAUGGCAUAAGCCAGCUUGACUGCGAGCGUGACGGCGCGAGCAGGUGCGAAAGCAGGUCAUAGUGAUCCGGUGGUUCUGAAUGGAAGGGCCAUCGCUCAACGGAUAAAAGGUACUCCGGGGAUAACAGGCUGAUACCGCCCAAGAGUUCAUAUCGACGGCGGUGUUUGGCACCUCGAUGUCGGCUCAUCACAUCCUGGGGCUGAAGUAGGUCCCAAGGGUAUGGCUGUUCGCCAUUUAAAGUGGUACGCGAGCUGGGUUUAGAACGUCGUGAGACAGUUCGGUCCCUAUCUGCCGUGGGCGCUGGAGAACUGAGGGGGGCUGCUCCUAGUACGAGAGGACCGGAGUGGACGCAUCACUGGUGUUCGGGUUGUCAUGCCAAUGGCACUGCCCGGUAGCUAAAUGCGGAAGAGAUAAGUGCUGAAAGCAUCUAAGCACGAAACUUGCCCCGAGAUGAGUUCUCCCUGACUCC
RNAcentral lists this ribosomal RNA (2796 nucleotides) under Escherichia coli. Its description in RNAcentral is "bacterial LSU rRNA". It matches the Rfam family "Bacterial large subunit ribosomal RNA". The record is from RNAcentral. Lineage: Bacteria; Pseudomonadati; Pseudomonadota; Gammaproteobacteria; Enterobacterales; Enterobacteriaceae.